GGCCGGUUAGUUCAGUUGGUUAGAGCGUGGUGCUGAUGACACCAAGGUUGCGGGUUCAACCCCCGUUCAGACCC
RNAcentral lists this transfer RNA (74 nucleotides) under Apaloderma vittatum (bar-tailed trogon). It matches the Rfam family "tRNA". From Rfam's summary of the family: Transfer RNA (tRNA) molecules are approximately 80 nucleotides in length. Their secondary structure includes four short double-helical elements and three loops (D, anti-codon, and T loops). The record is from Rfam by way of RNAcentral. Lineage: Eukaryota; Metazoa; Chordata; Aves; Trogoniformes; Trogonidae.